GCGAGAGUAGCUCAGUUGGUAGAGCUUCAGCCUUCCAAGCUGAAUGUCGCCGGUUCGAACCCGGUCUCUCGCU
This 73-nucleotide transfer RNA is filed under the name Polaribacter gangjinensis. RNAcentral's name for it is "Polaribacter sp. K17-16 tRNA". It matches the Rfam family "tRNA". From Rfam's summary of the family: Transfer RNA (tRNA) molecules are approximately 80 nucleotides in length. Their secondary structure includes four short double-helical elements and three loops (D, anti-codon, and T loops). Further hydrogen bonds mediate the characteristic L-shaped molecular structure. tRNAs have two regions of fundamental functional importance: the anti-codon, which is responsible for specific mRNA codon recognition, and the 3' end, to which the tRNAs corresponding amino acid is attached (by aminoacyl-tRNA synthetases). tRNAs cope with the degeneracy of the genetic code in two manners: having more than one tRNA (with a specific anti-codon) for a particular amino acid; and 'wobble' base-pairing, i.e. permitting non-standard base-pairing at the 3rd anti-codon position. RNAcentral also lists the same sequence under 1 other name. Lineage: Bacteria; Pseudomonadati; Bacteroidota; Flavobacteriia; Flavobacteriales; Flavobacteriaceae. The record is from Rfam by way of RNAcentral.